RNAcentral lists this long non-coding RNA (1902 nucleotides) under Salmo salar (Atlantic salmon). Its description in RNAcentral is "lncRNA (ENSSSAG00000094648.1)". The record is from RNAcentral. Lineage: Eukaryota; Metazoa; Chordata; Actinopteri; Salmoniformes; Salmonidae.
CUGUGCGCUGCUCUUGUGGGCUGUGGUGUCUGGAGUUAUGUUCUUUGGAUAGAGUGGUGUGGGGACCACAGGUGACCUUUCUGUCUUCCUCUCUCCUGAGGGUCCCAGCAGAGCACUGGUGUGAGUAUCUUGGGGAGGUUUGAUCUUUAACUGACAAGGGGAAUGUGCUGGUGUGGGAGGAGGAGUUGUUCUGGUUUUGAUUACUUGUGCUGAGUCUGUGUUCCAGAGGUUCCCUAUGAGAAGCAGUGGUAUUGCCAAUGAGGUGAUGUGAGGGUGUGGUAGUGAGGGUUGUGGUAGGCUCCAGUUGUUCUCUUAGAGUGUGGAUUCUGGUGUCUCUGUGUUGUAGUAAUUCUAUGACUGCUGACAAGUCCCUUUGUAGCUCCUCCCUGAUGUCAGCUACCUCUCUCCUCAUGAUGCUCUCGACCAUUGACAGUUUCUCUCUUAGCUCCUCCUUAUCCUGCCUCAGAACCACAAUGAAAAUGUAAAGGUAGAGAACACACAGAAGGCUGUUGUAUAAGAGAGGGAGAAGUGUCUAUCCAUGUAUACGGCUGCCCCACGAUGAGGACAACGAAACCGGGCUCAAGGAAUGAACAGUUAAGCCCAUGUCCUGGAUCUCCCAUCAUAAUAACCAAGGAGCAACAUUUUGGAGCAAACUUUAUUAGUCAAGGAAGAAGCACACAAACGGUAAUGUGUAUUGGAAGAGAUUUCUGAUUGGUCUUCACCCAGCAUAUACCCCUCCAACCAGACAUGCUUUAUCUACUCAUUUGCUGAAUGCAGAGUUCAACAGAGUUCAAGUGAAGGUCAAGCAAAUCAUAGAGAAAGCAGACUGUACUGCAAUCAUCUCUGAUGGGUGGUCGAAUGUUCGUGGGCAAGGAAUAAUGAACUACAUCAUCUCCACCCCUCAACCAGUAUUCUACAAGAGCACAGACACAAGGGACAACAGACACACCGGUCUCUACAUUGCAGAUGAGCAUAAGGCAGUCAUCAAUGACCUUGGACCACAGAAGGCAUUUGCACUGGUGACAGACAAUGCUGCGAACAUGAAGGCUGCUUGGUCGAAAGUGGAGGAGUCCUACCCUCACGUCACACCCAUUGGCUGUGCUGCUCAUGCAUUGAAUUGGUUAGGUAUGUGAAGAGUCUACAAGUUAUAACAGCAAUCUACCUCACCAAGUAAAAUGAGAAGAAUAAGAGCACCACAUUAAAGCUGCCCAGCAACACCCGUUGGGGUGGUGUUGUCAUCAUGUUUGACAGUCUCCUGGAGGGGAAGGAGUCUCUCCAAGAAAUGGCCAUAUCACAGUCUGCCAAUAUUUACAGCUCCAUCAAGAGGAUCCUCCUGGAUGAUGUAUUUUGGGAGAGAGUGAUCUAAGAGAAGAAAUCCGUACUGCCCUGCCCACUUCACUGUUGCUCCAAGCAGAGGAAACUGCAGUUUUGGAAGCCUGAGAGGAAGACAACCAAAGCUUUAGUUUCUUGUCUAUCAUUUUACAGAUGUAUGUUGAAAACGUUUUUGGGAGAUGCGAUCGAUCAUUGGGGAUCAUUCAAUAUUCCCUUUCUUUUGUUGUUCAUUGAAAUCAUCCCAUGGGAAGAGUCAACUCAUUUAACUAAAGUAAAUUCAUAACUAAAUUGUUUUUAAAAAUGUAUAUUGGAAAGAUUUGAUCAUUAUCAAUUACACUGCUGUUCAAAAGUUUGGGGUCACUUAGAAAUGUACUUGUUUUUGAAAGAAAAUCACUUUUUUUGUCCAUUAAAAUAACAUCAAAUUCAUCUGAAAUACAGUGUAGACAUUGUUAAUGUUGUAAAUGACUAUUGUAGCUGGAAACGGUUGAUUUUUUCAUGGAAUAUCUACAUAGGCGUACAGAGGCCCCUUAUCAGCAACCAUCACUCCUGUUUUAAGGGUUAAGGUUUCUG